Molecule: unclassified non-coding RNA, 312 nt
Filed under: Hevea brasiliensis (rubber tree)
Lineage: Eukaryota; Viridiplantae; Streptophyta; Magnoliopsida; Malpighiales; Euphorbiaceae
Source: RNAcentral
GCAAGAUCCGGCGGCGGGAAGGAUCGUGGGAAGGCGAUCGUCGUGUCCUCCGCUGGUGAUGGCGACGGCGCAACCACCACCGGCAUCGGUAACAAUUGGGCAAGACCUAGCCAUGGGUUAAAAGGCAUCUUCGUCUCCGCCGCUGCUGACGACUCCACCCUCGCAAACGGUAACCGUGCAUCCGACGCUUCCACUCUGGACGGUAUUCUCUCCGUCGUCAUUCCCAAGGGCGGCAUAGGUCCUGAGGGCGGCAACCUGAGCCCUGUUGCUCCCGCCGGAGGUGUCUCGAUCGCCAAAUCCAUUACACAUGGA